This 1972-nucleotide long non-coding RNA is filed under the name Strigops habroptila (Kakapo). RNAcentral describes it as "lncRNA (ENSSHBG00005009116.1)". Lineage: Eukaryota; Metazoa; Chordata; Aves; Psittaciformes; Psittacidae. The record is from RNAcentral.
GUCUGGGUUUGUGCGCUGUGGAAGCUCAGAACUGGGCCCGUGCCCUGUGCUCUCGGCAGCCACCCCAUGAGGACCCUUCCUCGUCGUGCCGGUGGUUGCGCUGGGAGCAGCAGCGCCGCUGGGACCACGCUGGAGCCGGGAUCUCCAGAGGAAGCAGCCACCAAGCGCUGGAGUCUCGACGCCUCCAUCCUUCAGGCACCUCCGACGGCCGCAGCCGGGGGCUGGUGCGGAGCGAGGCGGAGGCCGGCUGCUGCUCGGGUCAGCUCGGGAAGACUCGCCGCGUCCCGCGGGCAGCAGCCGCGGUGACACCCGUAGGACCGGAGCGCUGCCGGUGCUCCGCGCGCCGACAGAGCGCGGCAGGGACCGGGGCGGGCUCUUCCCGCCCCCGGCGUGAGGCCAAGCCCCGCCCCGCCGGGCGUGCCGCGGUGACGUCAGCGGCCCGCUCCGCCGCAGCGCCAGCGCAGGCCGUGCUGCCACCGGAGCCGCUCAGCCGGCACCCGCGCCCCGGCCCGGCCUCGCCGCCCUGGCCGCCAUGCCCUCGGACCGGCCCUUCAAGCAGCGCCGCACCUUCGCGGAUCGUUGUAAAGAAGUGCAGCAGAUCCGAGAGCAGCAUCCCAACAAAAUCCCGGUCAUCAUCGAACGCUAUAAAGGGGAGAAACAGCUGCCAGUGUUGGACAAGACCAAGUUCCUUGUCCCAGACCAUGUCAACAUGAGUGAAUUGGUCAAAAUAAUCCGGCGUCGCUUGCAGCUGAAUCCCACCCAGGCUUUCUUCCUGCUGGUGAACCAGCACAGCAUGGUGAGCGUGUCUACCCCCAUCUCGGAGAUCUACGAGCAGGAGAAGGAUGAGGACGGCUUCCUCUACAUGGUCUAUGCUUCCCAGGAGACCUUUGGCUACUGAAGCCUGUUGAGAGGUGGCAUGUGGAGACGGAUGAACUGUGGCACACAGGCCCCCGGCCUUGGAAGACGACACAACCAGAGGCUGGCAAGAGGAGGACUGUGCUGAGUCCCUUUCUCUCCCUCCCUCCCUCCCUCCCUCCCUCCCUAUCUAUCACCUUUUCACCAAGGAGGCUCGUGGCAUGUGUUGGACUCACACAACCCUUCACCUCUGUGUAGAUCAGCCCCGCUCCCUCCACACACAUGCACCCACGUGCAGACACCUGUGUGUGCACACGUGGGGCCUCGGCUUCCCAUCACGUCCCCUCGGUGUAACCUGCAGCUGCUCUCACUGUGCUCUGUGUGUGUGUGUGCGUGUUCGUAGCCUGCUGCCAAGACAGCUCAGCCAGGGAUGGAGAGAGGACAGGACACUGUCCCCUUGGCUUCCAGCACAGGGAGAGGAGCUGCCUCCCCUCCAAGACACUAAUGAAGGGCAGGAGGUCUGCAAAAGCAGCAGAAGAUGUUCCCAUUGCUCCCCAGUUUUAAUUGAUUUAAUUACACCCAUAUCAGAUUCUUGGUGCUACUGAGUAGAUGUAGGCGUCUCUAUAGGACUGUGGAUAAUGUAUAUCCUUUAGAUUUAUUUUAUUGUUUUUUCGUUUGUGGUUUGGUUUUGGGGUUUUUUUAGGGAUAGAUUGGAAUGGGGAGAGGGGGUAAUCUUUCCUGUAUUCUGUAGGUAAAUAAAUCAGGCUUCAUUGCACUUUAAAGCAUAGUAGAUGUCAGAGUGGAACUUACUUUUAAUUUAUACAGGUUUGCCAUAUAUAGUGCUGCUCCUCUGUUGACAGUUGUACCUAGAUUGUCUUUGGGGUUUUGUUUUGUUUUUAAUAAAACUGAUUUCCCUUCUCUCUGUCUCCCCACUGCAUGCAAUUUUUAGUCUCUGUGUGGCAAAGAGUUCAUUCAAGGAAUGUACUGAUUUAUAUUUGCUAUGUUCCCAUUCCUGUUUCUCAUGUAUUAUACCAAAAAAAUGUAUAUGAUAAAAUCCCACCCGGUUUAAUCUAUACAAAGGUAUAUAUAUAAAUAUAUAUAUAAAAUAAACAUAAAU